UUCUAGGACGUGACGAAAGCGCCAAGCCUUGAGCUUGGAAGAGCUUCGUCAUUUCCAAAGAACAUUGCCGCCGUCCUCAUGUCCCUUCAUCACUGGAAAAUACGCCUCGCAAGAGGCGUAUCUGCCUGGCAGGCUUUCGAGCGCCUCGCGCUGCUGUAAAAAGCGGUCUGCGACGGCACCGGGCCGGUAGCUCAGGUGGUUAGAGCGCACGCCUGAUAAGCGUGAGGUCGGAGGUUCAACUCCUCCCCGGCCCACCAUGCAUUGGUUGGGGGCUUUAGCUCAGCUGGGAGAGCGGUUGCUUUGCAAGCAUCAGGUCAUCGGUUCGAUCCCGAUAAGCUCCACCAAGGCACUGCGUAGCGCUGUUGCGCGGAGCAGCAGAAGAUUUCCAGAGAUGAAGAGUAGCGGUUUGCCGGAUGCGUCCGGCGAUAUGGCUUGCUGAUGCAGGCCUCUUUGACAUUGUGAAUGGGUUUUUUAAUCGAUGCCGUGGCGACGCGGUUCGGUUCUUCACUGAUCCUCGGAUCAGCGGGAAACGGACUAUGUCGUACACAAAUGAUUAUCUGGCUGAGUUAAAUCACCACACCGAACAAGCUGAUGUUGGCGCUAUCUCCAGUGCUGUCAUGG
Molecule: transfer RNA, 621 nt
Filed under: Sphingobium chlorophenolicum
Lineage: Bacteria; Pseudomonadati; Pseudomonadota; Alphaproteobacteria; Sphingomonadales; Sphingobiaceae
Description: partial contains 16S ribosomal RNA, 16S-23S ribosomal RNA intergenic spacer, and 23S ribosomal RNA
Rfam family: tRNA (bases 181-254)
Source: RNAcentral